Molecule: ribosomal RNA, 321 nt
Filed under: Vairimorpha bombi
Lineage: Eukaryota; Fungi; Microsporidia; Nosematidae
Description: Nosema bombi partial small subunit ribosomal RNA
Rfam family: Microsporidia small subunit ribosomal RNA
Source: RNAcentral
CAAGAGUGUGUAUGAUGAUUGAUGCAGUUAAAAAGUCCGUAGUUUAUUUUUAAGAAGCAAUAUGAGGUGUACUGUAUAGUUGGGAGAGAGAUGAAAUGUGACGACCCUGACUGGACGAACAGAAGCGAAAGCUGUACACUUGUAUGUAUUUUUUGAACAAGGACGUAAGCUGGAGGAUCGAAGAUGAUUAGAUACCAUUGUAGUUCCAGCAGUAAACUAUGCCGACGAUGUGAUAUGAGUAUUUGUAUUACAUAGUAGAAAUUAGAGUUUUUUGGCUCUGGGGAUAGUAUGAUCGCAAGAUUGAAAAUUAAAGAAAUUGAC